RNAcentral lists this ribosomal RNA (526 nucleotides) under uncultured bacterium. RNAcentral describes it as "bacterial SSU rRNA". It matches the Rfam family "Bacterial small subunit ribosomal RNA", at positions 777 to 1301 of the family's 1533-position model. The record is from RNAcentral.
AAUAGAUACCCUGGUAGUCCACGCCGUAAACGAUGAGUGCUAAGUGUUAGAGGGUUUCCGCCCUUUAGUGCUGCAGCUAACGCAUUAAGCACUCCGCCUGGGGAGUACGGCCGCAAGGCUGAAACUCAAAGGAAUUGACGGGGGCCCGCACAAGCGGUGGAGCAUGUGGUUUAAUUCGAAGCAACGCGAAGAACCUUACCAGGUCUUGACAUCCUCUGACACUCCUAGAGAUAGGACGUUCCCCUUCGGGGGACAGAGUGACAGGUGGUGCAUGGUUGUCGUCAGCUCGUGUCGUGAGAUGUUGGGUUAAGUCCCGCAACGAGCGCAACCCUUGAUCUUAGUUGCCAGCAUUCAGUUGGGCACUCUAAGGUGACUGCCGGUGACAAACCGGAGGAAGGUGGGGAUGACGUCAAAUCAUCAUGCCCCUUAUGACCUGGGCUACACACGUGCUACAAUGGAUGGUACAAAGGGCUGCAAGACCGCGAGGUUUAGCCAAUCCCAUAAAACCAUUCUCAGUUCGGAUUGC